GCCCGGCUAGCUCAGUCGGUAGAGCAUGAGACUCUUAAUCUCAGGAUCGCGGGUUCGAGUCCCACGUUGGGCG
This 73-nucleotide transfer RNA is filed under the name Carlito syrichta (Philippine tarsier). RNAcentral's name for it is "tRNA-Lys (CTT) (tRNA-Lys-CTT-5-1)". It matches the Rfam family "tRNA". Rfam says of the family: Transfer RNA (tRNA) molecules are approximately 80 nucleotides in length. The record is from Rfam by way of RNAcentral. Lineage: Eukaryota; Metazoa; Chordata; Mammalia; Primates; Tarsiidae.